Molecule: long non-coding RNA, 4847 nt
Filed under: Nicotiana benthamiana
Lineage: Eukaryota; Viridiplantae; Streptophyta; Magnoliopsida; Solanales; Solanaceae
Description: long non-coding RNA (NBEN_LNC042546)
Source: RNAcentral
CGACUCUGGUGACUUCGUGCCUCAUAUUUCUACAAGACUACUAAGGUUAGGCCCUUACCCACACCAGACUCAACUAUUUAAUAUCAACAAUUAGCAUGAAUCAUUUAGUUCUCCAAAUAAAUGCACAUAACAUGCUGAUGUCCAUUUGGGUUUAGGAAACCCAAUGGACUUUGGACGAAGCUAUCUUAAAGAAUCAUUAUUACAUAACUCACCUGACUAGGUUUGACCAUGAUGCAUGCACAGUUUGAAUAGAGUAUGGUUUUUAUGAGGUUGUAUACUGGUACAUUUGAGCAGACAGCUCAAGGGGGGAAGGCAUGGAACUGUCGACUGCACUGCUGAUCAACUAGUUUUAUUGCAAAUAUUUCUUUCAGGAUUUAGAGGGUAAUUAUAUAGGAAUAGAACAACCACUCAUUAUAAGCGUUGCUAUGGAAUUUGUUUGGCACGAGUGGAGUAUGAUAUUGAGCAUUAUUAUACAAUAAUUAAAAGCAUGUUGGCACAUAUUUGUAUGUUAAGAAAGUAGUAAAUACAACAAUUUCAUAAUUUAUAGUGGCAAUAAAGGAAAUAAAUUAAGAAGAUAAGUUUGUUUUGCUUUUGAAAAGAACUUAAACACUUAAAGGAAUUUAAAUAGGUAAUUGCACAUAAAGGAAAGUACAAAUUCACAAGAACAAUCUGAAUUGGUAAAAACCUAAUAUCCCCAGCAGAGUCACCAUGCUGUCGCGCCCCCUUUUUCCCUCUUUGCAUCGGAAAAUCGGGUUUAUGACAUUUUUGGGAUAGGACAACUCAUUCCUUUUGGAAGCUGUGUUUUGCAUUUGAACAGUCACCACCUAAUGAUUUAAGGUGCAUUAUAACACAUAUAAGGUUCACUACUAAGUUUGUUUGAUAACUACAGAUGGGGCAAGGGCUUGAAAUUAUCCUAAGGGGAAGGUGUUAGGCACCCCUCAGGAUCAAUUAGUGUCAUUCCCGCCCAGAUAGUUUUUUUUGGUGAAUUUGUGCAACUUAGAAAAUAAAAAAGUGUAGGCUCAAAUAGUAGGGGAUUUAAGUUUAAACACAUAAGAGUUUGAAAACAAUUACAAGGUGAAUUCAGAAGAGAAGUUACAAUUCUAUAAAUAUUCAAAGGAAAGGAAAGAUGGGGGGCUAGGUUUAUUUGUAAUAUGGAUCACAUCAAUGCGAUACCCGGUAUGGAACUCCACAAAAGAGGGGAUACACGUGGUAUUAGCACACCGGUAAUCAUAUCCAUAUCUACCCUUACCACCUCGUCGAGGUAUUAAAACGCGUAUUGGUCUCGACCACUAUUGUAUGCUAUUAACCGUCCCAUUCCAACCAGUUCUGGAGGAACUUAAGACUACUUUGCUAAAGCGAAGGGAUAUUGUGCUGACUUUUAGGUUUCAAAAGGUGAAAAAUCUAAUGCUACACACAUAACACAUAGGACUGCACGUUGGGGGGGGGGGAACAUGGAAACAACUAAAAGGCUCAUGUAUACCUCCUCAAGCAAAGCACAAAAAUAACAUAACUUAAACACAGUCAGGGUCUGAAUUUAAAGUACCAAGCAAAGGGAGUUUUAAUUGUUGAGGCAGACUAAUUAUUAAAUAACUCAGAUAAGAAGUCUGAAUCAGGCCUGCCUGGUGGUUGUAGCCAUUACUGAUUAACAAAAACGGGCUCGGUUUUAUUUAUUGUCAACCAAGGCUUGCCUAAUUGUUGGGGUAAGAUCCUAUAAAUAUGAAAUCUAUUACUAAUUCAGAAUGUGGAGAAGAAAUAAUAUUUUUAAAACGAGCGAUUUGAGAUCAAAUAGGCAUGCUUUUUAAACCAUGUAAAAUGAGACCAAUAUGUUGUAUUAAAAAACUAGUUCAGAACAGUAUGAGUUGAGCUGAUUUUAAACUAGACUGGUUUCAGAUCCUAUAGCCAUUUAUAUCUAUUAUUGGUAAUUUAAAUUCCAAUAGACAUGAUAUCUAGUUGAACAUGAAAUGAAGCAGACAUGAUUUCCUUGAAAUUCCUAUAGGCAUUAUUUCUAUGAAAAGGUACUGAUUUUAAUCUAUUGGACCUGAUGUCGGAUUAUAUUUAAUUGGACUCUAAGAACAUGGUGUCUAAGUGUGGUAAUAACUUGAAGAAUUUAAGACAUAUCCUAUAGGCAUGUUAUUUAAAUGCAGAAUUUAAAAUAGGUCAUAUAGGCAGGUUUUCUAAAUGCAGAGUUAAACAUGCAGACUAAAAAUGUGUUAUAGGUAUAUUAUUUAAAUGCUGAAUUAAUCAUAAAGAAAACAAGUCCUAUAGGGAUGUUCUAUACCCUUCUAUAGUUAACCAUGCAUAAUUACCCAUCCCUAUUCACUAACCAACCCUAAUAUUUAUUACAAAUUAUUAUAGACCAAAUACGAAAUUACAUCGAACAAAAGCAAAAUAGGAAGUUACAACUGUAGAAAUCCUGAUUUUGACUUCUUCUCUGAGUUAUGGAACAAACACCUCAAAUGCCACUUAUUUCAAAGCCUUUCUCAGACUUGAGUGUGUCAAAGUUUCCUAUGGGUAUCAAGGGACCUUGGGCAGUGCUUACACCCAAGUUUGCAUAACCAAAUAGAGAUAGGUGCAGUAUGGAAGGGCCAACCCUUAUGCGUCCAAGUUGAGAAGGUGCUCAUGGGUCCUAUUGGAAGGCUCACACAAGAGGGGCAUAACCUAAGUUUAUAGUAUUAUAGAAGUGCAGAAACAUAGAUUUGUUUAACAUUGGGUUGAGAGUGGUAAAAGGUAAGGGUAAUUGGAAAACAAUAGUUGUAAAUCUAACACUACACAGAAUCAACAUUUUUAUACAAUGGGGCUAGGGAUCUGGGAAUUCAUUGUAGGGAGAAUAUGACCUUAGGAAGGGGUUAGUUUAGGGCAUGCACAACAAUAGAUGGUGCUGGUAUGCCCAUAAACCAGCCACAAAACACAACACAGAAAGAUAUGAAGCAUAUUACUCUAGGGAGUGUCAGGUUUGGGUCAUGCAUAACAAUGUCUAAUGCUAACAUGCCCUCAAACCAACCAGAGAAUACAAAAACAUAGGCGAUAUGGGGGUUUGGGAUUCAUAUGUCAUAAUAAGUGACUUAGAGAAUUCAUACAUAAAGAAAACACAUUGAUUUACAACAUGCUUUAGGAAUGAAACUUGAUUAAACGCAAGUAGGAAACAGGCAAGAGUGAAGGAAAUAGUAAAGAAAACAUGUUGGUUUUUAUGCUUGAAGAUUAAUUAGUACAUACUAGUAAAGAAAUAAAUGCAGAAAGAAAAGUAAGAAAAUUUCCACAGUCUAUCCUUUGCUUUUAGUCGGCUAGACAAAGCAGCAAGCAGAAGUAGUAACAGAGAAAAUAGGGAGAGUUUUGAGUGAAGUAUGCGUUUUGAACUUAGAAGGUUUGUUCUCUUUUGGAAGAAGAUAGGCGUACAAUAUUUAUAGUUUAUUGAAAAUGAGUGAAAGAAGGGGUAAUAAAUAAAGUUUAACUACAAAUAUGGAAACAAUCAGUGGUCAGAAUUAAUUAUACAAGUGAUUCCUUUAAUUAAGAAAUCAUUGAUUAGGAUUUAGGUUUGAACGGGUCGUAACGGAUUCAAAUAAGGAAAGAAAUCAAUUUAGAGAAAAACGAAUUAUUGCCAUAAAAAGAGUAGUAAAAGCUUGCAAUGAACAAUCAAGUCUGAGUACGAGAAUAUGCUUAUUUUUGGAAAGGAUUUAGCAAGGUAAAUAGUAUAGUAAAGGGAAAAGAAUCGAUCAAUUCCAAACAGGCGAGUGAAAUUAGGGUUCAUAAAAGAAAGGCUUCAAAAUUAGUCACACGAUUAGGGUCAGUCAAAGAAGAAACAUGCUUCUGCACUUUAGUAUAUAAACAAAGUGAACGGAAGACAUCAGACAUGUAAGGCCAAGCACAUUGGCAAAAAAAAAACAUAGGAUUCAAUAGACAAUCAGUGCUCACACAUAUAGCCAAAGUGAAGAAGAGAGUCAAACAAAUAAAGGUAUCAUAGUAACAGGUGAGGAAAUCUUUUAAAAAGUUAGGGGUUCAGCCACAGUCGAGUUGAAACAUAGUCAAAAUCAGAUAAGUCACAUAAAGAAAAUAGAGUCAUGAAAAAGAACUUUCAAUCGAGUCAAGUGUUCAAACAAAAAAUUUCAGACCCAAAGACCUUGGGUUUUCAACAACAAUCGAGUUCAAAGAUGGCAAACAGAGAAGUCAAGCAAGAAUUGAAACAAACAAGCACACAUCUAACAAACAGCUUCAGAACUCAAUUGAGACCCAAAAGAAAUUAGGGAUUUAACAUGCUAACUCAGAUAGAAUAACAAAUGAACAAAACAUAGCAGAAUCCAAAAUACGUUAAACCCAGAGAAGACAUUUUUUGAAAUAACUUAAAGAAAAACCAAAUCAAAAAAAAAUAAAGAGGCAUUUGGAAAGCAGGUUAAAGAAUCUUCAAGAAACACUUAACAAAGUCAUAGCAAGUAUAGAUCUAAAGUAGAUCUAAAAGAAAGUUGAAAGAUUUUAAAUAUUGGAGUUUCUAAUAACCCAAAAAAGGUGAGAAAGGCCUUGAAAGAUAUAGAUCUAACUAGAGGAGUCAAGGAUCUGACUCGAAAGGCCAUGGCUGCCCGGAGAAAAGCCACAAAUUGAAAUUAAACAAGGAUUCGACUAGACUCCCUCAAGGCUGGCCGUGAAACCACAAGGACAAACACCAGGAGCCAUAUGAGGUCCCUACCCGCCUAAAAUGACCACGAGGCUCCAUGGAUUAGACAUGGCUUUGGGUGGAUAAGGGUAUAGUUUAAUGGCGGCAACUAGGGUACGUAAGAGUUUCAGAGAGAGUUGAGAGAAAAGAGGAAUUCAGAGGUGGUGGUUGGUGAGAAAUGAGGUAGGGUAAAGGGGUCGUUUGG